CCUACGGGGGGCAGCAGUGGGGAAUAUUGGGCAAUGGGCGAAAGCCUGACCCAGCAACGCCGCGUGAAGGAAGAAGGUUUUCGGAUUGUAAACUUCUGUCCUCAGGGAAGAAGGAAGUGACGGUACCUGAGGAGGAAGCCCCGGCUAACUACGUGCCAGCAGCCGCGGUAAUACGUAGGGGGCGAGCGUUGUCCGGAAUGACUGGGCGUAAAGGGCGCGUAGACGGCUGUCUAAGUCUGGAGUGAAAGUCCUGCUUUCAAGGUGGGAAUUGCUUUGGAGACUGGAUGGCUUGAGUGCGGA
RNAcentral lists this ribosomal RNA (300 nucleotides) under uncultured Eubacteriales bacterium. RNAcentral describes it as "bacterial SSU rRNA". It matches the Rfam family "Bacterial small subunit ribosomal RNA", at positions 338 to 652 of the family's 1533-position model. Lineage: Bacteria; Bacillati; Bacillota; Clostridia; Eubacteriales. The record is from RNAcentral.